Molecule: ribosomal RNA, 253 nt
Filed under: uncultured bacterium
Lineage: Bacteria
Description: partial 16S ribosomal RNA
Rfam family: Bacterial small subunit ribosomal RNA
Source: RNAcentral
UACGUAGGGGGCAAGCGUUGUCCGGAUUUAUUGGGCGUAAAGAGCGUGUAGGCGGCCAGACAGGUCCGCUGUGAAAACUCGAGGCUCAACCUCGAGAUGUCGGUGGAAACCGUCUGGCUAGAGUCCGGAAGAGGAGAGUGGAAUUCCAGGUGUAGCGGUGAAAUGCGCAGAUAUCGGGAAGAACACCCGUGGCGAAGGCGGCUCUCUGGGACGGUACUGACGCUGAGACGCGAAAGCGUGGGGAGCGAACAGG